GUCUUAUUGUCUAGGAGUUUUUGAAAAAUAAAGGAGCAAUAAUCCCCUUCUUCUUCUAUCAAGAAGGGGUAUUGCUCCUUUAUUUUCUUUAUUUUAUAUAUAUUCGAAUUUUGAUUUUUUUGAUUCUUUUAUUCUAUAGGAUCUUGGCAACCCUUUUGGUUGUUUUGUUACAUUUUUUAUAAUGUCAUUAUAAGUUUUUUAAUACUCUGACAGAUCAAAAUAUCUCCUAAAUAAUAAAAUAGAAAUCAAAUUGUCUAAAAUAGAAUCGAAUACUUCUUAGAUUAGAAUAUUAUUCUAGUAAAUAUAUUUACUAGAAUAAGAAAGGAAUAGAUUCUUCGAUUUAAUUUACUAAAAAAAGUAAAAUGAAUAUUUCAUAGAAAACAUAUUUCUAAAAUAUAGAAUAGUAAUAUUGCAUAUUCUAUAUUCUASAUUUAGAAUAUCUAUUAAUUARAUAUCGUGAAGGUUAUAUAUAGUGAAGGGGCGGAUGUAGCCAACUGG
This 498-nucleotide unclassified non-coding RNA is filed under the name Mitrasacme paludosa. RNAcentral describes it as "partial miscellaneous RNA". The record is from RNAcentral. Lineage: Eukaryota; Viridiplantae; Streptophyta; Magnoliopsida; Gentianales; Loganiaceae.